CCUACGGGGGGCAGCAGUGGGGAAUAUUGGACAAUGGGGGGAACCCUGAUCCAGCCAUGCCGCGUGUGUGAAGAAGGCCCUCGGGUUGUAAAGCACUUUCAGUGAGGAAGAACGCCUGGUGGUUAAUACCCAUCAGGAAAGACAUCACUCACAGAAGAAGCACCGGCUAACUCCGUGCCAGCAGCCGCGGUAAUACGGAGGGUGCGAGCGUUAAUCGGAAUUACUGGGCGUAAAGCGCGCGUAGGUGGCUUGAUAAGCCGGUUGUGAAAGCCCCGGGCUCAACCUGGGAACGGCAUCCGGAACGGUCGAGCUAGAGUGAAGGAGAGGAAGGUAGAAUUCCCGGUGUAGCGGUGAAAUGCGUAGUGAUCGGGAGGAAAAACAGUGGCGAAGGCGGCCUUCUGGACUGACACUGCCAAUGAGGUGUGGAAGCGUGGGUAGAACACAGGAUUAGAUAACCGUGUAGUC
This 465-nucleotide ribosomal RNA is filed under the name Vreelandella stevensii. RNAcentral's name for it is "partial 16S ribosomal RNA". It matches the Rfam family "Bacterial small subunit ribosomal RNA", at positions 338 to 795 of the family's 1533-position model. The record is from RNAcentral. Lineage: Bacteria; Pseudomonadati; Pseudomonadota; Gammaproteobacteria; Oceanospirillales; Halomonadaceae.